RNAcentral lists this ribosomal RNA (1346 nucleotides) under uncultured bacterium. Its description in RNAcentral is "partial 16S ribosomal RNA". It matches the Rfam family "Bacterial small subunit ribosomal RNA", at positions 28 to 1381 of the family's 1533-position model. The record is from RNAcentral.
GACGAACGCUGGCGGCGUGCUUAACACAUGCAAGUCGAACGGAAAGGCCCUGCUUUUGUGGGGUGCUCGAGUGGCGAACGGGUGAGUAACACGUGAGUAACCUGCCCUUGACUUUGGGAUAACUUCAGGAAACUGGGGCUAAUACCGGAUAGGAGCUCCUGCUGCAUGGUGGGGGUUGGAAAGUUUCGGCGGUUGGGGAUGGACUCGCGGCUUAUCAGUUUGUUGGUGGGGUAGUGGCUUACCAAGGCUUUGACGGGUAGCCGGCCUGAGAGGGUGACCGGCCACAUUGGGACUGAGAUACGGCCCAGACUCCUACGGGAGGCAGCAGUGGGGAAUAUUGCACAAUGGGCGGAAGCCUGAUGCAGCAACGCCGCGUGCGGGAUGACGGCCUUCGGGUUGUAAACCGCUUUCGCCUGUGACGAAGCGUGAGUGACGGUAAUGGGUAAAGAAGCACCGGCUAACUACGUGCCAGCAGCCGCGGUGAUACGUAGGGUGCGAGCGUUGUCCGGAUUUAUUGGGCGUAAAGGGCUCGUAGGUGGUUGAUCGCGUCGGAAGUGUAAUCUUGGGGCUUAACCCUGAGCGUGCUUUCGAUACGGGUUGACUUGAGGAAGGUAGGGGAGAAUGGAAUUCCUGGUGGAGCGGUGGAAUGCGCAGAUAUCAGGAGGAACACCAGUGGCGAAGGCGGUUCUCUGGGCCUUUCCUGACGCUGAGGAGCGAAAGCGUGGGGAGCGAACAGGCUUAGAUACCCUGGUAGUCCACGCUGUAAACGGUGGGUACUAGGUGUGGGGUCCAUUCCACGGGUUCCGUGCCGUAGCUAACGCUUUAAGUACCCCGCCUGGGGAGUACGGCCGCAAGGCUAAAACUCAAAGGAAUUGACGGGGCCCCGCACAAGCGGCGGAGCAUGCGGAUUAAUUCGAUGCAACGCGUAGAACCUUACCUGGGUUUGACAUGGAUCGGGAGUGCUCAGAGAUGGGUGUGCCUCUUUUGGGGUCGGUUCACAGGUGGUGCAUGGCUGUCGUCAGCUCGUGUCGUGAGAUGUUGGGUUAAGUCCCGCAACGAGCGCAACCCUUGUUCACUGUUGCCAGCACGUUAUGGUGGGGACUCAGUGGAGACCGCCGGGGUCAACUCGGAGGAAGGUGGGGAUGACGUCAAGUCAUCAUGCCCCUUAUGUCCAGGGCUUCACGCAUGCUACAAUGGCUGGUACAGAGAGUGGCGAGCCUGUGAGGGUGAGCGAAUCUCGGAAAGCCGGUCUCAGUUCGGAUUGGGGUCUGCAACUCGACCUCAUGAAGUCGGAGUCGCUAGUAAUCGCAGAUCAGCAACGCUGCGGUGAAUACGUUCCCGGGGCU